RNAcentral lists this transfer RNA (92 nucleotides) under Desulfovibrionaceae bacterium. RNAcentral describes it as "tRNA-Ser". It matches the Rfam family "tRNA". Rfam says of the family: Transfer RNA (tRNA) molecules are approximately 80 nucleotides in length. Their secondary structure includes four short double-helical elements and three loops (D, anti-codon, and T loops). Further hydrogen bonds mediate the characteristic L-shaped molecular structure. tRNAs have two regions of fundamental functional importance: the anti-codon, which is responsible for specific mRNA codon recognition, and the 3' end, to which the tRNAs corresponding amino acid is attached (by aminoacyl-tRNA synthetases). tRNAs cope with the degeneracy of the genetic code in two manners: having more than one tRNA (with a specific anti-codon) for a particular amino acid; and 'wobble' base-pairing, i.e. permitting non-standard base-pairing at the 3rd anti-codon position. The record is from RNAcentral. Lineage: Bacteria; Pseudomonadati; Thermodesulfobacteriota; Desulfovibrionia; Desulfovibrionales; Desulfovibrionaceae. RNAcentral also lists the same sequence under 1 other name.
GGAGAGGUGUCCGAGUCCGGCUUAAGGAGCACGCCUGGAAAGCGUGUACAGGGGGAACUCUGUCGGAGGUUCAAAUCCUCUCCUCUCCGCCA